Molecule: ribosomal RNA, 506 nt
Filed under: uncultured bacterium
Lineage: Bacteria
Description: partial 16S ribosomal RNA
Rfam family: Bacterial small subunit ribosomal RNA
Source: RNAcentral
AGUGAACGCUGGCGGUAGGCCUAACACAUGCAAGUCGAACGGCAGCACAGGAGAGCUUGCUCUCUGGGUGGCGAGUGGCGGACGGGUGAGGAAUACAUCGGAAUCUACUUUUUCGUGGGGGAUAACGUAGGGAAACUUACGCUAAUACCGCAUACGACCUACGGGUGAAAGCAGGGGACCUUCGGGCCUUGCGCGAUUGAAUGAGCCGAUGUCGGAUUAGCUAGUUGGCGGGGUAAAGGCCCACCAAGGCGACGAUCCGUAGCUGGUCUGAGAGGAGGAUCAGCCAAACUGGAACUGAGACACGGUCCAGACUCCUACGGGAGGCAGCAGUGGGGAACAUUGGACAAUGGGCGCAAGCCUGAUCCAGCCAUACCGCGUGGGUGAAGAAGGCCUUCGGGUUGUAAAGCCCUUUUGUCGGGAAAGAAAUCCAGCUGGCUAAUACCCGGUUGGGAUGACGGUACCCAAAGAAUAAGCACCGGCUAACUUCGUGCCAGCCGCCGCGGUAA